UCAAACUCCUGGGCUCAAGCAAUCCUCCCGCUUUGGCCUCCCAAAGCGCCAUAGUGAUUUUAUUUACAAAAUCUAAAGUUUAUCUUCAAAUCUCUCAGUCUUACUGUCUUCCCCAUGUUGGACAUCAUCCUUAGAAAGUACUGUCUCACUAACAUGUCAGCAAAGCCUGAGUUCUGUCCCCUCGCUUCCCCACACCCCCGCCUCUGGACAGCAUGAGCUUCACCACUCGUUCCACCUUCUCCACCAACUGCCGGUCCCUGGGCUCUGUCCAGGCGCCCAGCUAUGGCAUCCUGCCAGUCAGCAGCACAGCCAGCAUCUCUGCAGAUGCCGGGGGGGCUCUGGUUCCCAAAUCGCUGUGUCCCGCUCCACCGGCUUCCAGGGUGGCAUGGGGUCCGGAGACCUGGCCGCGGGGACAGCCAGGGGUCUGGCAGGAAUGGGAGGCAUCCAGAACGAGAAGGAGACCGUGUAAAGCCUGAACGACCUCCUGACCUCCUACCUGGACAGAGUGAGGAGCCUAGAGACCAUGAACCGGAGGCUGGAGAGCAAAAUCCAGGAGCACCUGGAGAAGAAGGCACCCCAAGUCAGAGACUGGAGCCAUGACUUCAAGACCAUCGAAGACCUGAGGGCUCAGAUCUUCUCAAAUACUGUGGACAAUGCCCACAUUGUUCUGCAGAUUGACAGUGCCCGUCUUGCUGCUGAUGACUUUAGAGUCAAGUAUGAGACAGAGCUGGCCAUGCGCCAGUCUGUGGAGAAUGACAUCCAUGGGCUCUGCGAGGUCACUGAUGACACCAAUGUCACUCAACUGCAGCCGGAGACAGAGAUCGAGGCUCUCAAGGAGGAGCUGCUCUUCCUGAAGAAGAACCACGAAGAGGAAGUAAAAGACCUACAAGCUCAGAUUGUCAGCUCUGGGUUGAUCGUGGAGGUGGAUGCCCCCAAAUCUCAGGACCUUGCCAAGAUCAUGGAAGACACCUGGGCCCAAUAUGACGAGCUGGCUCAGAAGAGCUGAGAGGAGCUGGACAAGUACUGGUCUCAGCAGACUGAGGAGAGCACCGCAGUGGUCACCACACAGUCUGCUGAGGUUGGAGCUGCUGAGAUGCUGCUCGUGGAUCUGAGAUGUACAGUCAAGUCCUUGGAGAUCGACCUGGACUCCAUGAGAAAUCUGAAGGCCAGCUUGGAGAACAGCCUGAGGGAGGUGGAGGCCCACUACACGCUGCAGAUGGAGCAGCUCAACGGGAUCCUGCUGCACCUGGAGUCCGAGCUGGCACCGACCCUGGCAGAGGGACAGCACCAGGCCCAGGAGUACGAGGCUGUGCUGAACAUGAAGGUCUACUGGAGGCUGAGAUUACCACCUACCACUGCCUGCUGGAAGAUGGCGAGGACUUCAGUCUUGAUGAUGCCCUUUACAGCAGCAACUCCAUGCAAACCAUCCAAAAGACCACCACCCGCCGGAUAGUGGAUGGCAAAGUGGUGUCUGACCAAUGACACCAAAGUUCUGAGACACUAAGCCAGCAGAAGCAGGGUGCCCUUUGGGGAGCAGGAGGCCAGUAAAAAGUUCAGAGGUCAUUGGAAAAAAAAAGAAAGUACUAUCUCACUAACAAAGCUAAAUAUAAUGAACUAUACAUUAAUAUUUUACUUAUAUUUUUCUUGUGCUUUAAAAUAUUUAACUUUAAUAUUGAACUGCAUUUCAGCAGAAAUAUAAAGUUGGGCUCUAAUUUUGUUUUCAAAUGUCUUCUCAGUUGUCCCAACAUUUCAUAUUGGUAAAUUCAUUGUACAUUCCCUUACCUGGAUUGCUUUCUGUUUUUCAUUUACUACUUGUACCUGCUUGGGUUCAACUGUACACUUUCUAGUCUGUUCUAUUCUUUGUUUCCAUGUUAGUUCUAGAUUACAUGUUAAUAUCUGAUAGGAUAAUCUAUCCCAGCUGUGAUUAUUUUUAAAUUUUUUUUUCCCCCAAUUUUCACAUGUUUAUAUGUUUCUUCUUCAAGUUGACCUUUAUAACUUUUUUCACAGUCACUGCUGGUGCCUCCUUUCCUUUGUCAGAUUAUAUUGGAUUUUUAUAUGACACAUAGAUUAAUUUUGGGAAAAUCAUUUUAUACUACUCUAGUUCCUAAGAGGGAAACUUUUCAGCUAUUUCUUUGUCUUAGGUUAUGUCUUAGUAUUGAUUCUUAAGUUCUUCAAGGUCUUUCCAGUCUAAAAUGCUAUGAAGGUUGGAUACAGUGGCUCACGCCUAUAACCCCAGCCCUUUGAGAGGCCAAAGCCAGAGGAUUGCUUGAGGCCAGGAGU
Cercocebus atys (sooty mangabey) is the source of this 2280-nucleotide RNA transcript. It is a transcript of the gene named keratin, type I cytoskeletal 18 pseudogene, with no coding region annotated. NCBI's taxonomy places the organism in Eukaryota, Metazoa, Chordata, Mammalia, Primates, Cercopithecidae. The transcript has a single exon. The record is from RefSeq and is a predicted model, not a curated record.